This 300-nucleotide ribosomal RNA is filed under the name uncultured Alphaproteobacteria bacterium. Its description in RNAcentral is "bacterial SSU rRNA". It matches the Rfam family "Bacterial small subunit ribosomal RNA", at positions 1032 to 1333 of the family's 1533-position model. Lineage: Bacteria; Pseudomonadati; Pseudomonadota; Alphaproteobacteria. The record is from RNAcentral.
ACACAGGUGCUGCAUGGCUGUCGUCAGCUCGUGUCGUGAGAUGUUGGGUUAAGUCCCGCAACGAGCGCAACCCUCGCCCUUAGUUGCCAGCAUUGAGUUGGGCACUCUAAGGGGACUGCCGGUGAUAAGCCGAGAGGAAGGUGGGGAUGACGUCAAGUCCUCAUGGCCCUUACGGGCUGGGCUACACACGUGCUACAAUGGUGGUGACAGUGGGCAGCGAAGGAGCGAUCGCGAGCUAAUCUCCAAAAGCCAUCUCAGUUCGGAUUGCACUCUGCAACUCGAGUGCAUGAAGUUGGAAUC